UCCUGUGGCCAGCUCACUGGCUGUGCACUGUGCGAUUCUAAGUGCUACAGUCGUGAGCAGAUCAAUGGA
RNAcentral lists this microRNA precursor (69 nucleotides) under Gallid alphaherpesvirus 2. RNAcentral describes it as "microRNA mdv1-mir-M31 precursor". Its record names the gene mdv1-mir-M31. The record is from miRBase by way of RNAcentral. Lineage: Duplodnaviria; Heunggongvirae; Peploviricota; Herviviricetes; Herpesvirales; Orthoherpesviridae.